CCUUCUCCCUGGCAUUCCAUAAGAUACCCGAAAACACAGCCACUGACAGCAGAGAGAUAUGACAAACUCUUUUAAUCCCAAUAUAUGUGUUGACUCAAUAGCAGUCGCUACGGGGGUGCCGAAUAAAUUUAAGGCCCAAAACCAAAUAGUUGCUGGGUUUCAGUCAGCACUCUUCUAUGGUCAACUAUUAAUAACAAUGUGAACUGAAUUAACUACAUCUAUUAGAGUCAACAGGGAUUCAUCAAUUAUACUCAGGAUGCCCUCAAAGGGGUGGCUAGCCGGUUAGACGCCACCAGCCGAAUGGCCUGGAUAAACAGGCUUGCACUAGACAUAAUGCCAGAAAAAGGGGGUGUAUGUGUUACGCUGGGUGGGAAACGUUAUACUGUCAUUUCCAACAAUACUGCCCCAGAUGGGACCAUCACAAAAGCUUUACAAGGACUGACAACUCUAGCCAACGAACAGGCAGAAAAUGCUGGAAUGAAUAACCCAUUUACAGGUUGGCUAAAAAUCAGUUUGGAAAACGGAAAGGCACGGUGGCUUCAAUCCUUACAUCUCACAUAAUUGUAGAAGGAGUCUUAGCAGUGGGAUGUAGUAUUAUCUUGUGUGUGAGGGGACUAGCACAGAGAUUAAUUAAAACAGCUAUUAAUAAACAAAUGCCAAUAAGUUACCAGCAAAAUAACCUGCUACUAUUAGAAACCAAAAUAAACUCACUCUCAUAUAAGGAAGAAAGUAAACAACUUCUAAAGCAGUUUGAGGACCAAAACGGUUUAAAUGAAAAUGAGACCAAAGGAAGUAAAUAGAAAAGGAAGGAAAAUAAGGAAAUUUGUGAGAAAACAUUUUAAGUGGUCCAUUUUCAAGGCAUAAUAAAUCUAAGUACUGGAAGUCAGCCUGUGGAUGUAACAAACCGCACAGCUCAUGCACCUAGAAGGUCAUGAUAAGUGAACAGAAUGUAGGGGAGGGGUCAGCCCCUAAAACAGGAGAAAGUUUCAUUAUUGGGAAAUCAAAACUGAAGUGGGGAAAGGGACCAGGGUAUAACCUUAUAAGGGGGAUAAUAAAACUUUAGGCAAUGUCCAGGAAGACUGUAACCCCACAGUACUCAACCAGUGAGGAACAGGGGGAGGGACUUGCAUGCUAGGAAAUAAAUUAAAUGUUGUAACCGUCCCCAGUGUGACCGCCUACCAGACACCAGAUCUUGCAAGACUGCCAUUAAAAGUCUCGCUUCCGCUGUUCUUCAUGUCUCCGAGUCCAGUCUUUGGGUUUGGAUGGGUAAAUGUGUGUUUCUCACAGGCAUGAACCAACAUCCCACCAGAAUGUUAUUGGUGGUAACCCGUCAUGGUUUCUUUGAGCCCGAGGAACCAUUAUUACAGCCUAGAAUUUUCAGAUUACAACAAAUCACAGCUCCACACAUACGGCUGCACACAUAUGGUCCCUCAGGGCAUAUUUUCCCUAUGGACUAUACCCCUAGUUCAGUUUUAAGCAAUCUGGAAACCUGCUCCAACAUUCACUAGAGAAUUAAAGACUAAUGUGUUGAAAUUUUGCCAAAAAAAAAAAAAAAACCAAGAAGGUGUAUUAGUCUGUUCUCAUGCUGCUAAUAAAGACAUACCCGAGACUGGUAAUUUAUAAAGGAAAGAGGUUUAAUUGACUCACAGUUCCACAUGGCUGGGGAGGCCUCACAAUCAUGGCACAAGAUGAAGAAAGAGUAAAGGGGCUUCUUAAUGGUGAUGGGCCAGAGAGAAAUGAGAGCCAAGCGAAAGGGGUUUCCCCUUACCACGAAACCAUCAGACCUUGUGAGACUUAUUCACUACCUCAAAAACAGUAUGGGGAAAAUCAUCCCCAUGAUUCAGCUCUCUCUCACCAGGCCCCUCCCACAACAUGUGGGAAUUAUGGGGGCUAUAAUUCAAGAUGAGAUUUGGGUGAGGACACAGCCAAACCAUAUUACAAGGCUUUGUUCCCUAUGAACCAACAGGAGAGCAUUAUUUUUAAACACUGCCACACAUGCUCCCCAAAGUGAGGAACAAAAACGAAUCACAUCCUGGAGGCAGAGGUUGCAGUGAGCCGAGAUUAUGUCACUGCACUCCAGCCUGGGAGACAGAGUGAGACUCUGUCUCAAAAAAA
This is a long non-coding RNA of Rhinopithecus roxellana (golden snub-nosed monkey), 2115 nucleotides long. RefSeq lists it as uncharacterized. The transcript has 2 exons. The record is from RefSeq and is a predicted model, not a curated record. Lineage: Eukaryota; Metazoa; Chordata; Mammalia; Primates; Cercopithecidae.